GCAUUAAUGGGGUAGUGGUAACCUGGGUCGUUGCCAUUGAGAUGAUCUCGACCCGCCGGGGGUUCGAUUCCCUCUUAAUGCA
This 82-nucleotide transfer RNA is filed under the name Sphagnurus paluster. RNAcentral describes it as "Tephrocybe palustris tRNA". It matches the Rfam family "tRNA". Rfam says of the family: Transfer RNA (tRNA) molecules are approximately 80 nucleotides in length. Their secondary structure includes four short double-helical elements and three loops (D, anti-codon, and T loops). The record is from Rfam by way of RNAcentral. Lineage: Eukaryota; Fungi; Basidiomycota; Agaricomycetes; Agaricales; Lyophyllaceae.